AAUAUACGGAACCCGGUGCUGGAAGGUUAAUUGAUGGGGUCAGCCGCAAGGCGAAGCUCUUGAUCGAAGCCCCAGUAAACGGCGGCCGUAACUAUAACGGUCCUAAGGUAGCGAAAUUCCUUGUCGGGUAAGUUCCGACCUGCACGAAUGGCGUAACGACAGCGGCGCUGUCUCCACCCGAGACUCAGUGAAAUUGAAUUCGCUGUGAAGAUGCAGCGUUCCCGCGGCAAGACGGAAAGACCCCGUGAACCUUUACUAUAGCUUUACAUUGAACGUUGAGUUCUUCUGUGUAGGAUAGGUGGGAGGCUAUGAAACCGAGACGCUAGUUUCGGUGGAGCCAUCCUUGAAAUACCACCCUGAAGUGCUUGACGUUCUAACCUCGAUCCGUUAUCCGGAUCAGGGACCAUGUAUGGUGGGUAGUUUAACUGGGGUGGUUU
RNAcentral lists this ribosomal RNA (437 nucleotides) under Pseudomonas sp. DCB_Q. RNAcentral's name for it is "partial 23S ribosomal RNA". It matches the Rfam family "Bacterial large subunit ribosomal RNA", at positions 1850 to 2285 of the family's 2925-position model. The record is from RNAcentral. Lineage: Bacteria; Pseudomonadati; Pseudomonadota; Gammaproteobacteria; Pseudomonadales; Pseudomonadaceae.